UACGUAGGGACCGAGCGUUGUCCGGAUUUAUUGGGCGUAAAGAGCGUGUAGGCGGCCAGGUAGGUCUGCUGUGAAAACUCGAGGCUCAACCUCGAGACGCCGAUGGAAACCCUCGAACUAGAGUCCGGAAGAGGAGAGUGGAAUUCCUGGUGUAGCGGUGAAAUGCGCAGAUAUCAGGAGGAACACCGGUGGCGAAGGCGGGUCUCUGGGCCGAUAUUGACGCUGAGGAGCGAAAGCGUGGGGAGCGAACAGG
This 253-nucleotide ribosomal RNA is filed under the name uncultured bacterium. RNAcentral's name for it is "partial 16S ribosomal RNA". It matches the Rfam family "Bacterial small subunit ribosomal RNA", at positions 524 to 776 of the family's 1533-position model. The record is from RNAcentral.